CCAAGAAGAAGAGAUUGAUGUUAGAAAAUUGGGCAGCAAACCGGUGGCAAUAAUCUUCAAGUUCGAUCCCAUGUCACACAUUGAAAGACUCCUAACCGAAUGCGAUCUAGGCAUCAUAAUACUCUUCUGACAUCUUAAAGCUGUCAAUCGCCCGAGCCAACUCCCGCUUGAAAUCCUCUGAAGCCUUAAGGGAUUCCAUGGCUGAGUAGUGGGCUU
This 216-nucleotide long non-coding RNA is filed under the name Elaeis guineensis (African oil palm). Its description in RNAcentral is "long non-coding RNA (EGUI_LNC009316)". Lineage: Eukaryota; Viridiplantae; Streptophyta; Magnoliopsida; Arecales; Arecaceae. The record is from RNAcentral.